UGUAUCUGAAGACUGACGAGGAUGAGAACCUCCGGGGGCAAGAGGUUCGACCCGAGCGAAGCGAGAGAACGUUGCGCCAGCAACGGCCCGCAGGGCGAGCCACGCAGUGGCGAGUCAUCCUCUAUCACCGACCA
Molecule: small RNA, 134 nt
Filed under: Salmonella enterica
Lineage: Bacteria; Pseudomonadati; Pseudomonadota; Gammaproteobacteria; Enterobacterales; Enterobacteriaceae
Also listed under: 1 other name
Description: RtT sRNA
Rfam family: RtT RNA
About the family: This family represents a bacterial cis-regulatory element known as RtT RNA.
Source: RNAcentral